UACAGAGACCUCAAGCGUUAUCCGGAUUUAUUGGGCGUAAAGCGCAGGUAGGCGGGUAUGUUAGUCGGAUGUCAAAGCCCAGGGCUCAACCCUGGACCGGCAUUCGAAACGGCAUAUCUAGAGGAUGUGAGAGAUCAGUGGAAUUGAUGGUGUAGUAGUGAAAUGCGUUGAUAUCAUCAAGAACACCCAAGGCGAAGGCAACUGAUUGGCACAUAUCUGACGCUGAGCUGCGAAAGCGUGGGUAGCGAAUGGG
Molecule: ribosomal RNA, 253 nt
Filed under: uncultured bacterium
Lineage: Bacteria
Description: partial 16S ribosomal RNA
Rfam family: Bacterial small subunit ribosomal RNA
Source: RNAcentral